Molecule: ribosomal RNA, 498 nt
Filed under: uncultured bacterium
Lineage: Bacteria
Description: partial 16S ribosomal RNA
Rfam family: Bacterial small subunit ribosomal RNA
Source: RNAcentral
GAUGAACGCUAGCUACAGGCUUAACACAUGCAAGUCGAGGGGUAGCAGGGUAGCAAUACCGCUGACGACCGGCGCACGGGUGAGUAACACGUAUCCAACCUUCCCAUAACUCGGGGAUAGCCUUUCGAAAGAAAGAUUAAUACCCGAUAGUACUUAACAAAGGCAUCUUUGAUAAGUUAAAGAUUUAUUGGUUAUGGAUGGGGAUGCGUUCCAUUAGAUAGUUGGUGAGAUAACGGCUCACCAAGUCAUCGAUGGAUAGGGGUUCUGAGAGGAAGGUCCCCCACAUUGGUACUGAGACACGGACCAAACUCCUACGGGAGGCAGCAGUGAGGAAUAUUGGUCAAUGGGCGAGAGCCUGAACCAGCCAAGUAGCGUGAAGGAUGAAGGUCCUAUGGAUUGUAAACUUCUUUUAUAGUAGAAUAAAGUGAUCCACGUGUGGAUUUUUGUAUGUAUACUAUGAAUAAGGAUCGGCUAACUCCGUGCCAGCCGCCGCUGUAA